CCUACGGGUGGCAGCAGUGGGGAAUAUUGGGCAAUGGGCGCAAGCCUGACCCAGCAACGCCGCGUGAAGGAAGAAGGCUUUCGGGUUGUAAACUUCUUUUCUCAGGGACGAAGCAAGUGACGGUACCUGAGGAAUAAGCCACGGCUAACUACGGGCCAGCAGCCGCGGGAAUACGUAGGUGGCAAGCUUUAUCCGGAUUUACUGGGUGUAAAGGGCGUGUAGGCGGGAAAGCAAGUCAGAUGUGAAAACCAUGGGCUCAACCUGUGGCCUGCAUUUGAAACUGUUUUUCUUGAGUACUGGAGAGGCAGUCGGAAUUCCUAGUGUAGCGGUGAAAUGCGUAGAUAUUAGGAGGAACACCAGUGGCGAAGGCGGUCUGCUGGACAGCAACUGACGCUGAGGCGCGAAAGCGUGGGGAGCAAACAGGAUUAGAUACCCCUGUAGUC
This 443-nucleotide ribosomal RNA is filed under the name uncultured bacterium. RNAcentral's name for it is "partial 16S ribosomal RNA". It matches the Rfam family "Bacterial small subunit ribosomal RNA", at positions 338 to 795 of the family's 1533-position model. The record is from RNAcentral.